AGUGAACGCUGGCGGUAGGCCUAACACAUGCAAGUCGAACGGCAGCACAGUAAGAGCUUGCUCUUACGGGUGGCGAGUGGCGGACGAGUGAGGAAUACAUCGGAAUCUACUUUUUCGUGGGGGAUAACGUAGGGAAACUUACGCUAAUACCGCAUACGACCUACGGGUGAAAGCAGGGGAUCUUCGGACCUUGCGCGAUUGAAUGAGCCGAUGUCGGAUUAGCUAGUUGGCGGGGUAAAGGCCCACCAAGGCGACGAUCCGUAGCUGGUCUGAGAGGAUGAUCAGCCACACUGGAACUGAGGCACGGUCCAGACUCCUACGGGAGGCAGCAGUGGGGAAUAUUGGACAAUGGGCGCAAGCCUGAUCCAGCCAUACCGCGUGGGUGAAGAAGGCCUUCGGGUUGUAAAGCCCUUUUGUUGGGAAAGAAAAGCAGCAGGUUAAUACCCCGCUGUUCUGGCGGUACCCAAAGAAUAAGCACCGGCUAACUUCGUG
RNAcentral lists this ribosomal RNA (492 nucleotides) under uncultured bacterium. RNAcentral's name for it is "partial 16S ribosomal RNA". It matches the Rfam family "Bacterial small subunit ribosomal RNA", at positions 29 to 507 of the family's 1533-position model. The record is from RNAcentral.